GUUCAGCCGUAAACUUUAAAUUACAACCCUAAUCGCCAGGGAACUACGAGCAAUGCUUAAAACUCAAAGGACUUGACGGUACCCCAUAUCCCCCUAGAGGAGCCUGUCCUAUAAUCGAUAAUCCCCGUUUAACCUCACCACUUUUAGCCUUCUCAACCUGUAUACCUCCGUCGUCAGCUUACCUCGUGAGCGAAAUCUAGUGAGCCCAAUGUCUUCACAUCAAUACGUCAGGUCAAGGUGCAGUUUAUAAAGUGGGAAGAGAUGGGCUACACUUUCUAGCAUAGAAAAUACGAAAAACUACUUAUGAAAUCUAGUUGGAAGGCGGAUUUAGCAGUAAAAAGAAAACAGAGUGUUCUUUUUAAUUUGGCACUGGGGUGUGUACACACCGCCCGUCACCCUCUUCAAAGCUUAUCAAAAGUAACUUAACUAAUUUUUGCAAUAAUAGAAGAGGCAAGUCGUAACAUGGUAAGUAUACCGGAAGGUGUGCUUGGAUUAAA
This 497-nucleotide ribosomal RNA is filed under the name Thoropa taophora. RNAcentral's name for it is "partial small subunit ribosomal RNA". It matches the Rfam family "Bacterial small subunit ribosomal RNA", at positions 794 to 1533 of the family's 1533-position model. The record is from RNAcentral. Lineage: Eukaryota; Metazoa; Chordata; Amphibia; Anura; Cycloramphidae.